CUACGAGUGGCAGCAGUGAGGAAUAUUGCACAAUGGGGGGAACCCUGAUGCAGCAACGCCGCGUGGAGGAUGACGCAUUUCGGUGUGUAAACUCCUUUUAUAUGUCAAGAAAAUGACGGUAGCAUAUGAAUAAGCACCGGCUAACUCCGUGCCAGCAGCCGCGGUAAUACGGAGGGUGCAAGCGUUACUCGGAAUCACUGGGCGUAAAGGACGCGUAGGCGGGUUGGAAAGUCAGGUAUGAAAUCCUACAGCUUAACUGUAGAACUGCACUUGAAACUUCUAAUCUAGAGUAUGGGAGGGGGAGAUGGAAUUAGUGGUGUAGGGGUAAAAUCCGUAGAUAUCACUAGGAAUACCUAAAGCGAAGGCGAUCUCCUGGAACAUUACUGACGCUAAGGCGUGAAAGCGUGGGGAGCAAACAGGAUUAGAUACCCGGGUAGUC
RNAcentral lists this ribosomal RNA (439 nucleotides) under uncultured bacterium. RNAcentral describes it as "partial 16S ribosomal RNA". It matches the Rfam family "Bacterial small subunit ribosomal RNA", at positions 339 to 795 of the family's 1533-position model. The record is from RNAcentral.